GCCCCUGCCUGCCUGCAGCUAAGGAUGAAAGUCUAUGCUGCCUGCCUGCCUGGGC
This 55-nucleotide unclassified non-coding RNA is filed under the name synthetic construct. The record is from RNAcentral.